Molecule: long non-coding RNA, 683 nt
Filed under: Pan troglodytes (chimpanzee)
Lineage: Eukaryota; Metazoa; Chordata; Mammalia; Primates; Hominidae
Description: lincRNA
Source: RNAcentral
GGCAUGAGCCACCACACCUGGUCCUAUUUCCCUUUUCUAGACUCAAGCUAUAUUCCAUAUUUAUUGGAAGCCAGUUACUAAGACCCGCUUACACCCAAAAGGAGUGGAAUCGAGACAGGGUUUCGCCAUGUUGCUAAGGCUGGUCUUGAACUCUCGGACUCAAGUGAUCCUCCUGCCUCAGCCUCCCAAAGUGCUGGGAUUACAGGACUUCUCCUUCCUGCCACCUUGUGAAGAAGGUGCCUUGCUUCCUUUUUGCUUUCCGUCAUGAUUGUAAGUUUCCUGAGGCCUCCCCAGCCAUGCUGAACUGUGAGUCAAUUAAACCUCUUUCCUUUAUAAAUUACCCAGUCUCGGGCCGUUCUUUAUAGCAGUAUGAAAAUGGACUAAUACAGCUUGUGUGAUAAUUUCACUGGAUGAUGUGAAAGCUUUUUUUGAAAAUGUUCAAGGCUCUGCCCAAAUAUGUGAUGGUGGAAUUUAUUAUGAUAUGCAAAUGAUACUUAUAAUAGUGAUGUGAUUUAUUUAUUUAUUUAUUUUUUAUUUUUUUGAGACAGGGUCUCACUCUGUCUCCCAGGCUGGAGUGCAGUGGUGCGAUCACAGCUCACUGCAGUCUCAACCUCCUGGGCUCAAUUGAUCCUCCCACCUCAGCCUCUUGAGCAACUGGGACUACAGGCAUGCACCAACACACC